This 944-nucleotide long non-coding RNA is filed under the name Carassius auratus (goldfish). RNAcentral describes it as "lncRNA (ENSCARG00000063302.1)". The record is from RNAcentral. Lineage: Eukaryota; Metazoa; Chordata; Actinopteri; Cypriniformes; Cyprinidae.
GUGCUCACCAUGACUGUUGACGGUAACUAGAUGGCAUCAACCAAGGCUACGAUAAUAUUUCAUAAAUGUGUGAUUAAAUAAAAGUAUAAUUUUGUUUCUGCCUGUCGGUUUUAGGUUAUUCUACAUACAAAAUUCUGGACCAAGUACAGCGUUGCAGCAGUUGUUUUUUAGUUUGGUGGCAUUCUUUCUGUCCACGCUGGCUCUCCAUAGCGCUCGGCUCUUCACCGCCUCACCCAAAGACUACUUUUUUCUGGGAGCAUCACCAAACGCUUACAGUACCCCUGAGAUUUGGCUGACCAUAUGUGUGACCACCUGUAUUGCUGUCCUUCCCUCAAUAACAAUACGGGCCUUAGGUGUUGUGCUAGCAAACCCCAACAAACAUAAGAUCCGCAGCUCGAAUGAGCCUGUCGAGCUGAAGUCGUGGUUUCAGAGAGGUACCCUUCAGCGUCGUUCGUCCUAUGCGAUGUCCCAAGGAAAAGGUUUUGGAAAGUUAAUCACCACAGGAGUUGGGCUUCCCUCUACGGCACCCCCACAGGACAGGAGAGUUACGGCAGACAGUCUGAAGAAAGAAUCUCCACAGGGUUCACUUAUAGAAAUGAAUAGUGGUGAUGUGGCAUGCUAGCAUCUUCAGUGUGUUUUGUCAUGCGCUGAAAAUGUGAUAUAAGUAGCAAAUAUUUUAACUAAAAAAGUCCAGAAACCAAGGGAUUUUGGUGCAUUUCUAAAAAUGGAGGCCCAGAACACACCUAAUCUAAUUGAUGGUGACUAUUUUGCCAAUACUUAAUGUUAUGGGGAGGGUUUGAACAUUUUAAAAUGCAAAAAAAAAGGUUGUAAAUCUCUGAUUUUUCAUAACAUUAUGAUCAUCAUAGCACCAAAUGGUUGACAAAACGUGAAUCCCAUCAUCUUUAGUUCGUAAUGUUAGAGCUUUUAAAUAUCCUUGUAUUUUU